GUUUUCUUUGGACGUCCAUAGCAAAUGGUUCCAUGGUUGCGGCAUUUGUGGGGCGGGAUGUUCAUUCAGGAGGUGGUCGGUCUCAUAUCUUCUUGGGAUUUCUGGGGCUUCCGUAUUGGGGGCUUGUGAUUUGUCAAUCAGAGGCUUUGUUGUUUUCUCCUGGUCCCAAUGUGUAGUGGGAUUCGCAGCAUGGGCGUUCGUCGCUGGGGCCGUCAUCGGUCUGGCUUUUUCUAUAUCAUUUCUAUGUUCUUUUGGGUGCUGCCCUGGGGUUCUGCUGGUGACUCCUGUAUGUGCUGCUUGCUGGUUUGUUUCUUGAUUAGUUAUUGGUAUUAUAUAUACCCUGUCUUUUCACGUUCCUCUUUAGGAUCUUUAUCAUUCCUAAGCCUAUUAAAAAUUGUUGGUAGUCUGGUAAUAACUACUCUUUUGUCA
This 429-nucleotide long non-coding RNA is filed under the name Androctonus crassicauda. Lineage: Eukaryota; Metazoa; Arthropoda; Arachnida; Scorpiones; Buthidae. The record is from RNAcentral.